UCCUCAGCCACAGCACAUAUGCCUGGGGCUACUGCAGAACAACUGCCCACUGCAUCCCCCUUUGUCCUGCGCAAAGAAUGAAAGAAGGAAAGGAUAUUUGCAGUACUUUUGUAGGAUCAAAUGGUUUCUUAGAGGUUUUCUUUACUGAUUGAAACGACCUUGGCUUCCCUUCCGUGUUAAAAGUUAAUCAUGCUGGUAUUUUGGUGGUGAAAAUAUAAAUGAAGCCUCAUUAGAACAAAGUACAUGCAGGAUCGUGUUAUGGCGGAUGUUUAGCAGAGUGUAUGAACUCCAACAGGAGCUAUUGGAUGAGCAUGUGUGCUACGAGUCUGAGUUUGUAGAUCUCGGCAGUCAAUGACAUCUUGUACUGCUGCAUCCUUGCUUAAAUUGUGCUGUGUAGCAAAAUAUCAGCAAAUGGCUCAGCUGACAAAAUGUCAGUCACAAACCUCAGCAUUUUGCACCUGGCUAUGGAACCAUCUGCAUUAAUAGCACAGUAAAAAUUGUUUACUGAUCUUGCACCUGCUGCUAAUGACCAGCAUAAAUAACUGGUCAAUACACCUGGCAUGAGGAACUUAUCUGAGUGUUCCACUUUUGGAGUUGAAAAUUAAACUAUUGUGUCAAAAAUCA
Molecule: non-coding RNA, 624 nt
Organism: Taeniopygia guttata (zebra finch)
Lineage: Eukaryota; Metazoa; Chordata; Aves; Passeriformes; Estrildidae
Source: RefSeq, a predicted model, not a curated record